GCGGCGUGCCUAAUACAUGCAAGUAGAACGCUGAAGGAGGAGCUUGCUUCUCUGGAUGAGUUGCGAACGGGUGAGUAACGCGUAGGUAACCUGCCUGGUAGCGGGGGAUAACUAUUGGAAACGAUAGCUAAUACCGCAUAAGAGUAGAUGUUGCAUGACAUUUGCUUAAAAGGUGCAAUUGCAUCACUACCAGAUGGACCUGCGUUGUAUUAGCUAGUUGGUGGGGUAACGGCUCACCAAGGCGACGAUACAUAGCCGACCUGAGAGGGUGAUCGGCCACACUGGGACUGAGACACGGCCCAGACUCCUACGGGAGGCAGCAGUAGGGAAUCUUCGGCAAUGGACGGAAGUCUGACCGAGCAACGCCGCGUGAGUGAAGAAGGUUUUCAGAUCGUAAAGCUCUGUUGUAAGAGAAGAACGAGUGUGAGAGUGGAAAGUUCACGCUGUGAC
RNAcentral lists this ribosomal RNA (450 nucleotides) under Streptococcus mitis. RNAcentral describes it as "bacterial SSU rRNA". It matches the Rfam family "Bacterial small subunit ribosomal RNA", at positions 39 to 473 of the family's 1533-position model. Lineage: Bacteria; Bacillati; Bacillota; Bacilli; Lactobacillales; Streptococcaceae. The record is from RNAcentral.